This 1491-nucleotide ribosomal RNA is filed under the name metagenome. RNAcentral's name for it is "bacterial LSU rRNA". It matches the Rfam family "Bacterial large subunit ribosomal RNA", at positions 1353 to 2925 of the family's 2925-position model. The record is from RNAcentral.
UUUGGAGGAAGGUUCGUCCGCUCCAAGUAAGUCGGGAGCUAAGGUCAGGUCGAAAGGCGUAGCCGAUGCACAUACGGUUGAUAUUCCGUAACCAUCUGUAAUUUAAGCAAAGGGACACUUCAAAAGGGUGUGACCCGGGCGUUGGUUGACCCGGGCGUAAGGGACCGAAAUUAGAGUAGGGAAGCACACUUAGCUGAAGGCGAGAAAAGCUUUGCGUAUAGAAGCAGAUGCCCGUACCGCAAACCGACACAGGUGGACAGGAAGAGAAUUCUAAGGCCAGCGGGAGAAGGGUAGUUAAGGAACUCGGCAAAUUGACUCCGUAACUUCGGAAUAAGGAGUGCUCGAAAGAGCCGCAGAGAAUAGGCCCAGGCGACUGUUUAGCAAAAACACAGGUCUCUGCCAAAUCGAAAGAUGAAGUAUAGGGGCUGACACCUGCCCGGUGCCGGAAGGUUAAGAGGAGGAGUGAGAGCUCCGAAUUGAAGCCCCGGUAAACGGCGGCCGUAACAAUAACGGUCCUAAGGUAGCGAAAUUCCUUGUCGGGUAAGUUCCGACCCGCACGAAUGGUGUAACGAUCUGGGCACUGUCUCAACUACCCACCCGGCGAAAUUGUAGUACCGGUGAAGAUGCCGGUUACCUGCGGCAAGACGGAAAGACCCCAUGGAGCUUUACUGUAGCCUGAUAUUGGGUUUCGGAAAUCUAUGUACAGGAUAGGCGGGAGACUUGGAAACAUGAGCGUCAGCUUGUGUGGAGUCGAUGUUGGGAUACCGCCCUUAGGUUUCUGGAAUUCUAACCUGCGGCCGUGAAACCGGUCGGGGGACAUUGUCAGGUGGGCAGUUUGACUGGGGCGGUCGCCUCCGAAAAGGUAACGGAGGCGCUCAAAGGUUAGCUCAGCACGGACGGAAACCGUGCCUCUGAGUGUAAACGCAAAAGCUAGCCUAACUGCGAGGGUGACGGCCCGAGCAGUAACGAAAGUUGGAGUUAGUGAUCCGGCGGUAUGUGAAUGGAAAUGCCGUCGCUCAACGGAUAAAAGCUACCCUGGGGAUAACAGGCUGAUCUCCCCCAAGAGUCCACAUCGACGGGGAGGUUUGGCACCUCGAUGUCGGCUCAUCACAUCCUGGGGCUGUAUUCGGUCCCAAGGGUUCGGCUGUUCGCCGAUUAAAGUGGUACGCGAGCUGGGUUCAGAACGUCGCGAGACAGUUCGGUCCCUAUCUGUCGUGGGCGCAGGAUAUUUGAGGAGCUCUGUCCUUAGUACGAGAGGACCGGGAUGGACGUACCUCUGGUGCACCAGUUGUCAUGCCAAUGGCACGGCUGGGCAGCUAUGUACGGAACGGAUAAACGCUGAAAGCAUCUAAGCGUGAAGCCGACUCCAAGAUUAGAUAUCCCAUCGUAUAACGAGUAAGACCCCUUGAAGACUACGAGGUUGAUAGGCUGCGUGUGUAAGUGCCGUGAGGCAUUCAGCUUGGCAGUACUAAUAGGUCGAGGGCUUGACCU